Mus musculus (house mouse) is the source of this 2210-nucleotide long non-coding RNA. RefSeq annotates it as predicted gene, 30693. Lineage: Eukaryota; Metazoa; Chordata; Mammalia; Rodentia; Muridae. The record is from RefSeq and is a predicted model, not a curated record. The transcript is spliced from 3 exons.
CUGCCUGUAACUUAGUGUUGGUUAGCGACGAGACAGUUGGGCUCGGGGCGCGGGGGAGGGGCGGGAGCUGGCUCAGCUGGUGGCACGAGUCUAAUGGCCUGAGUUCUGAUGGUCAGAACCCACUUACAAAGUUAAAUGCGACGAGAAGCAGCUAUUUCCUGAGACAGGAGCAUUGCCAGAGCUGCCCCCCACCCCCACCCCCAGCCAGCUACCCUGGAGUACACAGCCAGGCGGAAACGAGAAGAGACCCCGCCCCAACAAGGUGGAAGGCUCUCCAGCGGUGGGGCUUUCAAGGACUCCUGAAAGCUGUCCUGACUCUGCUCUCACGCCCGUGUGCACACAAUCAAUGUAUUAGAACGAAGUUUGCACUGGACAAGCAGCUCUGAGUGAGCCUCUCUCCUGUAAUCCCAGCACCUGGGAAACUGAGCACGCUCCAGCCCGAAGGUAGGAAGCUUGUACUGGCCUACAACUAAGACACUCAGAGUAUUCUGGUAUGUGUGGUGGAGGGACGAGCCUGGGAAUAGCCCAUGGUCUCACGGUGCGGGCUGUGCCAGAUGAAGUAGCGCUGUAGGGCAAGCUGUCCCGUAUCUGCAAAACCCAGACUUUCCUGCUGUUUGCAUCUGCACGGAAGUUGGAAGAAGGCAAAGAGUUGGGGCUAGCAGGCUGGGGGGCUGAGCCUGGGGCCAGGAGAGUCCCAAGAAGCAAGUUUUCUGUUUGUUACGUUCCAUCACAUGCUUCAAAGUGGGGGCACAACCAGGCUAAAAUGGCCUAAAGGAUUGUGGCUGUAACCGAGGCACCUCAGACUGCUGUGAAUUGCUAGGAUCAGAGACUGCUCUUAAGGCUCACAGCAAGAUAGGAAAGUGAGAAACCCCAAGGUCCCUGCAGGGAACCUUGCUCCAGCUCCCUACAAAGACAGCCCCUGAGCAGGACUCUGAUUGAGAGAUCUUAGGGUGGGAACGUCUGUGUGACCAGGUCACCUGCUGGAAGUACCUUGGGCUGGUGCCUCUGGUGCUCUGGGUUGCAGAGGUGUGUCCCCCUGAGAAGCCUCCGCAGCUGCAAGCCUCACUUUCUGAGUUGCGGGCAGGGGGAGGGGAUGGGGAUGGGAGUAGGGGAGAAAGGUGGUUCCCCUUCAGAAUUUUCCUCGGUGUCCUCUGGUCGUAUCUUCUCUUCUGUGCCUUUCUCCUGUUCUUACUCCACCAUCGGGAGUCCACUUCCUGCUUCUCCCAGGGCCCCUGCUUCCCCACCCCCACACUGUGGCUCCAGAGGAGGCACAGACCCUUCCAGAGGACCGGCCGCCCAGCCUGCUGCCGCAGCUCAGCCGCCUGUUGGAAAUACCUUGCUUUUGCAAGAUUCUGCUAAAAUAAGGAUAAAAGGACAAGCUACACAGGAAGAAAUACUUGCAAACCAACCGCACUUGUAUCUAAAAUACUUCAAACGCCUUCAAUAAUGCAAAGGGAAAUGCUAAAACACAAGUAAACGCCGAGCCAAAGCCUUUACUGUGAAAAGGACGCAGAGCAGAGAUGCUCUGCGCCUUCUGAAUUGUGAUGUAAAAAGUGACGGUUUGCAUCCUUUAUUCCCAGGUCAAACAAGCUCUCUCCCUUUGCACACAGUCACUUUUGGGGGGGGGGGAGGGGUUGGCUUUUGGUGACAGGGUUUCUCUGAGUGCUGGGAUUAAAGGCGUGCGCCACCACCGCCCGGCUACAGUCACUCUUUUGAAAGCUUUGGAUUGAGUAGGAACUGACAAACAGGAGGGAUGUCUCCUCCAGUGAUCUGCGGUGUCAAAGCUCUUCAUUUAUUUUACAGAGUAUUUGAUUGUUACCCGUUCUGUUCAUAGUUAGAAUAUGGGAUCUGAGGGUCAAGAGAAAGGGCUCAGCAAGCAAAGAGGUUUGCCACCUAGCCCGAUAACCUGAGUUCAAUGCCCAGGUCCCACAGGGUAGGAGAAAACUGGAUCCUGCAAGUUGUCCUCUAAUUUCCAUAUUCACACACACACACACACACACACACACACACACACACACACACACACACACACACAUCCCUGCCUCCCCCCAUCCCCCCUCAUACCCAAGCAUGAAAGCCCUUUUAACAAAGAAUGUUUCAAAUCACCUGGACAGAUCAGAAACUGUUUGUCAACUGUAGGUCUUUUUACUUGAAUUUUGUUUUGUUUUGGUUUUUUUUUGUUUUUUCGAGACAGAGUUUCUCUGAAUAGC